GUGGGGCAUGGUGGCACACACCUGCAGCCCCAGCUACUCACGAGGCUGAUGCAGGAGGAAAGCUUGAGCCCAGGAACUCUGGGCUUUGCAGGUUGGGUAUUCCCACUAAAUUCGGCAUCAGUAUGGUGACCUCCUGGGAGUGGCAGAACAUCAAGUUGCCUAAGGAGAGGUACACAGGACCAGGAUGGAAAUGAAGCGGCAUAAAAUUCCAUGCUGAUUAUAGUGGGAUCAUGCCUGUGAGGACCCACUGCACUACAGCCGGGGCAGCAGAGUGAGACCUGUUUCUG
Unclassified non-coding RNA from Callithrix jacchus (white-tufted-ear marmoset), 287 nucleotides. It matches the Rfam family "Metazoan signal recognition particle RNA". From Rfam's summary of the family: The signal recognition particle (SRP) is a universally conserved ribonucleoprotein. The record is from Ensembl. NCBI's taxonomy places the organism in Eukaryota, Metazoa, Chordata, Mammalia, Primates, Cebidae.